GCCCGGGUGGCGGAAUGGUAGACGCGCUCGUUUCAGGUGCGAGUGGUGAGAACCGUGCAAGUUCGAUUCUUGUUCCGGGCAC
This 82-nucleotide transfer RNA is filed under the name termite gut metagenome. RNAcentral's name for it is "tRNA-Leu". It matches the Rfam family "tRNA". Rfam says of the family: Transfer RNA (tRNA) molecules are approximately 80 nucleotides in length. The record is from RNAcentral.